Molecule: ribosomal RNA, 800 nt
Filed under: uncultured bacterium
Lineage: Bacteria
Description: bacterial SSU rRNA
Rfam family: Bacterial small subunit ribosomal RNA
Source: RNAcentral
AGAGUUUGAUCCUGGCUCAGGAUAAACGCUGGCGGCGCACAUAAGACAUGCAAGUCGAACGGAAGUCGUUAUAAAAUGGAAUGAAGAUUUAUCAGAGUGAAGUUUUAUAGCAAAGGCUUUAGUGGCGGACUGGUGAGUAAUACGUAAGCAACCUGCCUAAUAGAGGGGAACAACAGUUAGAAAUGACUGCUAAUACCGCAUAUGCCAUAUAUAUCACAUGAUAGAAGUGGAAAGGAGUAAUCUGCUAUUAGAUGGGCUUACGGCUGAUUAGCUAGUUGGUAGGGUAAAGGCCUACCGAGGCGACGAUCAGUAGCCGGACUGAGAGGUUGGACGGCCACAUUGGGACUGAGAUACGGCCCAGACUCCUACGGGAGGCAGCAGUCGGGAAUUUUGCGCAAUGGAGGGAACUCUGACGCAGUGACGCCGCGUGCAGGAAGAAGGUUUUCGGAUUGUAGACUGCUUUAGACAGGGAAGAGAAAGGACAGUACCUGUAGAAUAAGCUCCGGCUAACUACGUGCCAGCAGCCGCGGUAAUACGUAGGGAGCGAGCGUUAUCCGGAUUUAUUGGGUGUAAAGGGUGCGUAGACGGGGGAAUAAGUUAGUUGUGAAAUCCCUUGGCUCAACUGAGGAGCUGCAACUAAAACUGUUUUUCUUGAGUACUGGAGAGGAAAGUGGAAUUCCUAGUGUAGCGGUGAAAUGCGUAGAUAUUAGGAGGAACACCAGUGGCGAAAGCGACUUUCUGGACAGAGACUGACGUUGAGGCACGAAAGUGUGGGGAGCAAACAGGAUUAGAUACCCUGG